AUCCCAUGAUGAGGACACUUACAAAGUAACUCCAUGAAUCAGCCCAAGCCUCAUACAAUGACUCGUCAUCUAGUUGCUGGAAAGUUGUGAUCUCGUUCCUCAACAU
This is a non-coding RNA of Gossypium raimondii (Peruvian cotton), 106 nucleotides long. NCBI's taxonomy places the organism in Eukaryota, Viridiplantae, Streptophyta, Magnoliopsida, Malvales, Malvaceae. The record is from Rfam.